RNAcentral lists this ribosomal RNA (1156 nucleotides) under fungal sp. ARIZ AZ0209. Its description in RNAcentral is "eukaryotic LSU rRNA". The stretch from base 556 to 1156 matches the Rfam family "Eukaryotic large subunit ribosomal RNA", at positions 1 to 602 of the family's 3401-position model. Lineage: Eukaryota; Fungi. The record is from RNAcentral.
GAUCAUUAUUGAAUAACUAAAUCUUUAGUUCUUCAUACCCCAUUGUUGACUUACCCAUGUUGCUUCCACGUGGACAGGCGUUUAUUCUGCCCUCUGGCUUGUUGUGCUAACCCACACUUGACAGGGAGUUGCCCGUGGUAAGACCCCAAAUUUAACACUUGUUAUAUAUACUAUAAUGUCUGAAUAAAUCAUUUCAAAUGAAAUAAAACUUUCAACAACGGAUCUCUAGGCUCUUGCAUCGAUGAAGAACGCAGUGAAAUGCGAUAAGUAAUGUGAAUUGCAGAAUCUCGUGAAUCAUCGAAUCUUUGAACGCACAUUGCGCCCUAUGGUAUUCCGUAGGGCAUGCCUGUCUGAGCGUCAGCUCCCCCCAACUCAAGCUUUUUUUUCUUAUGGAAAGGCAAGUUUGGAUUACUUUGAAGGUGUAGCUUGCAAAGGCUGCUUUUCAGAAAUUCAUAGGCAGUAUGGUUGUUCCUAGACCAGACGUAAUAAUAAUAAAACCGUCUUUUUAGGAAAGAAUCGUGCUUGCCUUAACCCACCCAUUUUAUUUUACUUGGGUGACCUCAGAUCAGGUAGGGAUACCCGCUGAACUUAAGCAUAUCAAUAAGCGGAGGAAAAGAAACCAACAGGGAUUGCCUUAGUAACGGCGAGUGAAGCGGCAAAAGCUCAGAUUUGAAAUCUGGCGUCAUUUUGGCGUCCGAGUUGUAGUCUGUAGAGGAGUAUUCGAGUGUAGCGCUGGCUUAAGUUCCUUGGAACAGGGCGUCAUAGAGGGUGAGAACCCCGUUAACGGCCUUUGUCUUAUGCUCAUGUGAAUCUUCUUCAACGAGUCGAGUUGUUUGGGAAUGCAGCUCUAAAUGGGUGGUAAAUUCCAUCUAAAGCUAAAUACUGGCAAGAGACCGAUAGCGCACAAGUAGAGUGAUCGAAAGAUGAAAAGAACUCUGAACAGAGAGUUAAAUAGUACGUGAAAUUGUUGAAAGGGAAGCACUUGCGACCAGACACACUUGCAGUUGAUCAACCUCCAUUUUUGGUGGUGCACUCGGUUGUAGGUGGGUCAGCAUCAGUUACAGCGGUGGGAAAAAGACCGAGGGAAUGUGGCUCCCUUCGGGGAGUGUUAUAGCCCUUGGUGUAAUGCUGCCAGCUGUGACUGAGGACCGCGCUU